RNAcentral lists this ribosomal RNA (253 nucleotides) under uncultured bacterium. RNAcentral's name for it is "partial 16S ribosomal RNA". It matches the Rfam family "Bacterial small subunit ribosomal RNA", at positions 524 to 776 of the family's 1533-position model. The record is from RNAcentral.
UACGUAGGUGGCAAGCGUUGUCCGGAAUUAUUGGGCGUAAAGGGCGCGUAGGCGGCUUGGCAAGUGGAAGGUGAAAUCCCUCGGCUUAACCGAGGAACUGCCCUCCAAACUGCUUUGCUUGAGGCCGGGAGAGGUGAGUGGAAUUCCCAGUGUAGCGGUGAAAUGCGUAGAUAUUGGGAGGAACACCAGUGGCGAAGGCGGCUCACUGGACCGGUUCUGACGCUGAUGCGCGAAAGCGUGGGGAGCAAACGGG